UACGUAGGGUGCGAGCGUUUGUCCGGAAUUAUUGGGCGUAAAGAGCUUGUAGGUGGUUUGUCGCGUCCGUUGUGAAAACUCGAGGCUCAACCUCGGGCUUGCAGUGGAUACGGGCAGACUAGAGUGCGGGUAGGGGGAGACUGGAAUUCCUGGUGUAGCGGUGGAAUGCGCAGAUAUCAGGAGGAACACCGAUGGCGAAGGCGGCCUACUGGACAGCACCUGACACUGAGACGCGAAAAGCGUGGGUAGCAACAG
This 255-nucleotide ribosomal RNA is filed under the name uncultured bacterium. Its description in RNAcentral is "partial 16S ribosomal RNA". It matches the Rfam family "Bacterial small subunit ribosomal RNA", at positions 524 to 774 of the family's 1533-position model. The record is from RNAcentral.